AAGGUGCGCGUUGUGCGGAAAAACAAUCCUGCUCCGAGUUCCGUGGCUGCAUCUCCUGUCAAAGCCAGCUCUUCAACCAGUCACCCUUCGCAGCAGUUUGUGCACCAAAUUGCACCGAGGUCACCUGCGUCACCUGAGAAAGUUUUCCACAUUUCCCGACAGGGAGACCAGCUGCAUUACAGCAUCCAGUCCAGUGAUGUCAGCGUAGCGCCAACUAUCUGCACAUUGGGCGAC
Long non-coding RNA from Rhipicephalus sanguineus (brown dog tick), 234 nucleotides. RefSeq lists it as uncharacterized. The record is from RefSeq and is a predicted model, not a curated record. Lineage: Eukaryota; Metazoa; Arthropoda; Arachnida; Ixodida; Ixodidae. The transcript is spliced from 3 exons.